Molecule: long non-coding RNA, 206 nt
Organism: Rana temporaria (common frog)
Lineage: Eukaryota; Metazoa; Chordata; Amphibia; Anura; Ranidae
Exons: 3
Source: RefSeq, a predicted model, not a curated record
UUUCAAUCCAUAUCUAUGGCAAACAUUAGACUGUCUCUACUGACAAUAGGCAUUUUUGCUUACUAUUGACAGAUUAAUUCUAUCAAUGGCUUAAAAUCCUGCUGUGGUUCUCCUGAACUAUUCUGUUUUUCCCUGAGGACUCUGGUUCCUUCCUGUAUGGUCUGCUGUCUUUUGCUGUUUUACCUCUUUGCAUUGUAUGUCUGAAA